AGAGUUUGAUCCUGGCUCAGGACGAACGCUGGCGGCGCGCUUAACACAUGCAAGUCGAGCGAUGAAAUCUUAACAGAACCCUUCGGGGUGAAGAUAAGACGGAUUAGCGGCGGACGGGUGAGUAACACGUGAGUAACCUGCCUUUUACACAGGGAUAGCCUCGGGAAACCGGGAUUAAAACCUGAUGAAACUAUCAAAUCACAUGAUUAAGAAAGUUAAAACUCCGGUGGUAAAAGAUGGACUCGCGUCCCAUUAGCUAGUUGGUGAAGGUAACGGCCCACCAAGGCAACGAUGGGUAGCCGGCCUGAGAGGGUGAACGGCCACAUUGGAACUGAGAAACGGUCCAAACUCCUACGGGAGGCAGCAGUGGGGAAUAUUGCACAAUGGGGGAAACCCUGAUACGGGAGGCAGCAGUGGGGAAUAUUGCACAAUGGGGGAAACCCUGAUGCAGCGACGCCGCGUGAGCGAAGAAGGCCUUCGGGUCGUAAAGCUCUUUUAUGAGGGAAGAUAAUGACGGUACCUCAAGAAAAAGCUCCGGCUAACUACGUGCCAGCAGCCGCGGUAAUACGUAGGGGGCUAGCGUUGUCCGGAAUCACUGGGCGUAAAGGGUUCGCAGGCGGAAUAACAAGUCAGAUGUGAAAGGCAUGGGCUCAACCCAUGUAAGCAUUUGAAACUGUAAUUCUUGAGAAGUGGAGAGGUAAGUGGAAUUCCUAGUGUAGCGGUGAAAUGCGUAGAUAUUAGGAGGAAUACCUGUGGCGAAGGCGACUUACUGGACACAAAUCUGACGCUGAGGAACGAAAGCGUGGGUAGCAAACAGGAUUAGAUCACAAUAAGCACUCCGCCUGGGGAGUACGUGCGCAAGCAUGAAACUCAAAGGAAUUGACGGGGACCCGCACAAGCAGCGGAGCAUGUGGUUUAAUUCGACGCAACGCGAAGAACCUUACCAGGGCUUGACAUACUGAGGGCGUACUUAGAGAUAAGUAUUCUCCUUCGGGAGCCUCAAUACAGGUGGUGCAUGGUUGUCGUCAGCUCGUGUCGUGAGAUGUUCAGUUAAGUCUGGCAACGAGCGCAACCCUUACCUUUAGUUACCAGCAUGUAAAGAUGGGGACUCUAAAGGGACUGCCGAUGAUAAAUCGGAGGAAGGUGGGGAUGACGUCAAAUCAUCAUGCCCUAUAUGCCCUGGGCUACACACGUGCUACAAUGGUCGGAACAGAGGGAAGCAACAGAGCGAUCUCAAGCAAAUCUCAUAAAUCCGAUCCCAGUUCGGAUUGCACUCUGCAACUCGAGUGCAUGAAGUCGGAGUUGCUAGUAAUCGCAGAUCAGCAUGCUGCGGUGAAUGCGUUCCCGGGUCUUGUACACACCGCCCGUCACACCAUGGGAGCCUGUAAUACCCGAAGCCGGUGAGCCAACCGCAAGGAGGCAGCCGUCGAAGGUAGGAUAGGUGACUGGGGUGAAGUCGUAACAAGGUAGCCGUAUCGGAAGGUGCGGCUG
RNAcentral lists this ribosomal RNA (1491 nucleotides) under human gut metagenome. RNAcentral's name for it is "bacterial SSU rRNA". It matches the Rfam family "Bacterial small subunit ribosomal RNA". The record is from RNAcentral.